CAGUAGCCACGGGAAUACGAAGGGUGCAAGCGUUACUCGGAAUUACUGGGCGUAAAGCGUGCGUAGGUGGUUAUAUAAGACAGAUGUGAAAUCCCCGGGCUCAACCUGGGAACUGCAUUUGUGACUGUAUAGCUAGAGUACGGCAGAGGGGGAUGGAAUUCCGCGUGUAGCAGUGAAAUGCGUAGAUAUGCGGAGGAACACCGAUGGCGAAGGCAAUCCCCUGGGCCUGUACUGACGCUCAUGCACGAAAGCGUGGGGAGCAAACAGGAUUAGAUACCCCCGUAGUCCCUGUCUCUUAUAC
RNAcentral lists this ribosomal RNA (301 nucleotides) under uncultured bacterium. Its description in RNAcentral is "partial 16S ribosomal RNA". It matches the Rfam family "Bacterial small subunit ribosomal RNA", at positions 509 to 807 of the family's 1533-position model. The record is from RNAcentral.